Molecule: long non-coding RNA, 218 nt
Organism: Lagopus muta (rock ptarmigan)
Lineage: Eukaryota; Metazoa; Chordata; Aves; Galliformes; Phasianidae
Exons: 3
Source: RefSeq, a predicted model, not a curated record
CUGGAGAUUGCUCUUUGUGGAGUUUCUUUUGAGCUUACAAGACUGGUAGGAUGAAAUCACUGGGAAACCCAAGUGUUGCUGUCCUUUGUGUUUCAGCUCUGAGCUGUCUCAGCAAUGGAAAUGAUCAAGCACUGAGAAAACAUGACCUAUUAAAGAGUGGAAGAUCCAUAUUUAUUUCAAGAAGAUGGAAGGAUUACAGUUGUCUCUAGUCUCAGCUU